Rattus norvegicus (Norway rat) is the source of this 26454-nucleotide non-coding RNA. NCBI's taxonomy places the organism in Eukaryota, Metazoa, Chordata, Mammalia, Rodentia, Muridae. The record is from RefSeq and is a predicted model, not a curated record.
AGUCAGGUGGGAGUCAUGAGACAUAACUGCAGUCCCGGGCGCCAUCUUGGGACUGCCGCCACACCCGCUCCCCACAUCCUUUGUGACUGUGUAGCUCAGAAUGGUUCCCUACAACCAAAAAGAAAGUUAGGGAGGAAAGGGUUUAUUUGGCUUACACUUCCAUAUCACAGUUCAGCAUCAAAGGAAGUCAGGACAGAGACUGAAACCUGGGCAGGAACCUGGAGGCAGGAGCAGAUGCGGAGGCCACAGAGGGGUGCUGAGCUGAGAAAAAGGUUUUCCCUUAAAUUGGGAAAUUUGUUGUGUGUUUGUGUGUGUGUGUGUGUGUGUGUGUGUGUGUGUGUGUGUGUGUGUGUGUAUAAAUGUGAGUGUGAAAGUGCGGGUAUCUGUGUCUAUGUGUAUAUGUGUCUGUGUUCGAGUGUGUAUCUGUGCAUGUGAAUGUGGUUGGGUGCGUGUAUCUGUUUAUGUGAAUGUGAGUGUGAGAGUGUGUGUGUGUCAGUGUCUGCGUUUAUAAAUGUGUCUUUUUGUAUGAGUUGUGUUUCUGUCUGUGUCCGCAUGUGUGAAUGUGUGUUUCUAUGUAUGUGUGUGAGUGUCUGUAUAUGUGAAUGUGGGUGUGUGAAUGUGUAUGUCUGUGUGUGUGUCUGUGUGUAUGUGUGAGUGUAUGUAUCUGUCUCUGUAUGUGUGUGUGUUUGUGUGUGUGUGUGUGUGUGUGUGUGUGUGUGAAUGUAUAUGUCUCUGUGUAUUUCCUUAAACUACUUUACACCUCUUUCUCCUCAUUCUCACUAUGUCCUUAUUACCAGAGCCUCAUACUUAGGAAAACUGAAUUUAAAAAUUUAAAAAUUAAAAGGUGCCUUCUUGAAACAAAGUGCCACUCCCUGUUUGGUGGUAUGUUUUCAUGUGUUUAUUGGGCAUUGAGAAAAUUAAGUAAUGAUCCUAAGGGAUUUACCUUGUCAGCAUGCUUUAUUGAUUGGAAACAAGAGUCCGGUGUCAGGCAGACGUGUCUGAAUGCCUUUCUCCUCUACUUCCUUGGGGCAUGGCCUGUGUUUCAACAUUUAUAGCUUUCAAUGGGUAGAAGUGAUUUUUAAAUAUGCAAAGUUUUUGAAAGAAGACAGUAUGUAAAAAGCACCAGAUACACAGUAAAUACUCCAAACACGCUCGCUAUUGUUUGUGAUGCUAAUUUGCAAAUAUUUUAAAUUUGCUUUAGUAUUUAGUAUUUAUUUUUAGAUAAUUGAAAAUACUUUCUAAUUUCUCAUUUAAUGUCUUCCUUGACCCAUGGGUUAUUUAAAAACCUGUUGUUUAAUUGCCAAAUCUUUAUGGAUUGCCAACUUUUUCUCUGUUGCUGAUUGCUAUUUGUAAUACUCUGAUCAGGGACAUGCUUGGUAUGAUUUCAACCCUUUUAAAUGUAUUAAGCCUUGUGACAUAUCUCAUUAUUUGUAAGAUUACAAUGUGAUAUAAGGAAGAGAAAUAUUGAUCUCAUCCUCUAUGCCAUUCAUUUAAAGUGUAGUAUUUCUAAUAGUAUUGUAAUUCUUAUAAGACAUUUUAACCUGCCUGAUAUUAAUUAUAGGGUACACUGGAUGGACUUUCCUCCUCUGCUUUUGAUCAGGACCAUUUCAGUCAGCUUGGCAAGACAGCUGCUGAGUUAUCCUUCCAUACAUCAGAGGCAAUGAAUCCAGUGCCAAGAACACAUUGUUCUCGGACUGUAAGAGAUGAACCCAGCCUUAUGUGAUACCAUGCUACUCAGCUUUUCUAUCUAUAGCUCUCUCUGUGUUUAUAUGAGUGUGUGUGUGUGUGUGUGUGUGUGUGUGUGUGUGUUUAUGUGUCUGAGCAUAUGUGUGUAUGUGCGUUUAUAUGUAUGCGUCUGAACAUGAGUGUGUAUGUUUGUGUAUAUGUAUGUGUCUGAGCAUGUGUGUUUGUUUGUGUAUAUGUAUGUGUCUGAGCAUGUGUGUGUAUGUUUGUGUAUAUGUAUGUGUCUGAGCAUGUGUGUGUAUAUGUGCCUGAGUGCGUGUGUAAGAAUGUUUGUAUGUGUGUGUCUAGUAUGUGUGUGAGAGGGACAGAAAGAGACUUGUAGUUUUGUUACUAAUGGUUUGAGGGACUUUGGCUCUUCAUUCUCUCUCUUUCCUGGUAAAUAGGUGGAGACUUUGCUCUUGAUGCCCCGGUGUCAUAUGUGGCUUCGUGCACAGUUAUAAAAACAAAUGAUCAUGAACUGAAACGUCUAAAACCAUGAGUAUAAUCAUCUUCUCAUAAGUUGAUUAUCCCAAGCAUUGAAUUAUACUAAUGUAAAGCAGGCUAACACAACAGAUAAGGAAAUUGUAAAAAGCAGGUGACACGUCUUUUCAUAAGGAGAUGAAGACCAGCAGGUUCUAACACUCAUCAUGGUGGGAAGGGUCAGCUUCCUGGUGAUCUUUGAGGAAGGGAGUUAAAGGGGGCAUGGGUGGACAUAUGAUGUCUGGGUAAGAAUUUUCAAGGCAGAUGGGAUGGCAGGGUUUUCAGGUAGGUGGCAGCCUUUAUGUGUUUGAGAGCAGCAAGAAGAUUCUUUCUUAGUGCAGAAUGAACAGGGAGAAGCAUAGAAAUGAAUGCACCACACUUGAGUUUCAGUGAAUAUUUUUAUGACUAACAUUUAAAGGCUCUUUACUACGUGUUAAGUUAAUAUGAAACCAGUACAUUCAUACUUCAUAAAGUUAUACAAACAACUUUUGAACAGUAUAUGUGUGUUAAGGCUUAUGUGGAUAGGGCAAGACACUUUGAGAUGGGUUGAUAUACUGCCUCUGAACACACACACACACACACACACACACACACACACACACAGGUUUACAUUACACAUUUUGACUUACUUGUGGAGUCCAAUUAUUAUUUUUUUAUAUUCCAUAGGACUGUUUACUUUAGGUUGAAAGGAUCUUUAUAUAUGAUGGAGUGAGACUUGUUAAUUUUUUGAAGAUUUUUAUAUCUAUGCUAGUGAAAGAUAGUGGCUUAUAGUUGUUUUUCUUUGAUGUUUUUAGAAUACAGGGCUGACCGCAGAAUCAGUUUGGAAGGCUUUUUGCUUUAUUUUUUUUCUAGAAGAGAUUAUGAAAAUUUUCUGUGCUCUCUUCCUUAGAUGCUGGUAAAUUUUCUGGGUAGCUUUUUUUGAGAAGGCUAUUACAUUCUGCAUAUGGAAAUAUUACAUACAUACAAAAAGUUCCAGACAAAGUUAUUAAAUACUAUUUAACUUCUUUAGGUAGAUACUCAUGAUGUCUCUAACCCGUGUACAUUUUAUAGUUAAGAUAGCUGAAAUAUUGGUCCACGUUGUCUAACAUGUUAAAGUCAUAGCUGCAUAUUUAUUUUAUAGCUGUUUGCAGUGUUCCUCUGCUAUACAUGUUUCAGCAUCAGCCAUGCCUUUUUCAUCUUGAACGUUGUGAAUUCAUGUUGUCCCUGUCUUUCUUGAGUAGCCUAGAAAGAGGCUUAUCAGUGUUAUGGGUUUUCCCCAAACAGUUUUUGGUUUAAUUAUAAUUUGGUAUUUUCUGCUAUAAUUUAUUGUUUAUUAUUUUGUUUAUUCUAUGCUAAAUUUUUAUCCCUAAACAAGAACAAAUUGAUUUUGAAGUUUUAAAUCUCUUAUGUGCUUAUUAUUAUGACUCCUCCUCUAAGUACAUUUUCCCCAUGAUUCACAAAUUCUGAUCAGUUGUAUUUAAGUUUUAUUUAGCUUAAGCAUGCUUUCCUUUUUGUUUUAUCAUUGUUCUUUUUUUCUCUAUUAAUUAAUUUAUCCACUUUACAUCCUGAUCACAGCCUUCUUCUCCUCCCAGUGUCCCCUCACACAGCCCCUCCCUCGGCCUCCUCCCAGUCUCCUCUGAGAAGGUAGAGGAUUCUUUUGACCUAUGGGUUAUUUAGAAACACUUUAUUUCACUUUUAGACCCUAGAGAUUUUUUUCUGUUGCAUUUCUGCAUCUGACUUCCAUUUUAAUCCCACUGUUCUUUGGUAACAUUGCAUAAUAAUAUUUUUAAUCUGUAGAAACAUGAUUUGGGCUCCCAUAGUUGGAUAGAAUAAUCAUUAAGUUUCUAUGUAGUAAGUUAUAGGUAGGAUUACUUGGGUUACCUAGCUCACUUUUCUCUAACGCUGAUGGCUGAGCCCUGGUAGUGAGCGUGCCCAUCAGGUGUCCCAGCCCCAUGCAUGCCAUCUGGUUCUCUUGGAGACAGGUGCCAGUGGCCCCUGCCUCCCUUUCCUGUCAACAGUUGUUGCAAUCUAUUUUCUUAAGGUCCAGACCGUUUUGAUGAUUUAAUCCCAGUUUUGCGUGAGACUGAUAAGGAGCGUGAGGUACUGUUCUUCACUCAGAUGGGAUGAUGAACUACUCUUCCCUCAGGUGCGAUGGGGUUCUGAGGGAGCUGACUUUGGCUAUGGAGAAGCGGCUUCAUAUACUUCACAAGGACGAGUGUCUCCUCCAACAUCCCCAAACUAUGAGCCAUCUCUCCUUGACGUUCUUUUUGAGAACUUUUGUCAGAUUUCUACAAGUAAUACCCACAGGAAGAAGGCUUCUAUCUCCACUAGUCGCAGAUGCCAAUCUGGCUCCAUGAACGGCCUUCCACUGUCCUGUGGACUCACUGGAUAUGACACAUGCAGGGACAGUGAAAGGCAUUUCUGUUCUCAUGUCAAAUUCCAUCAUAAACAGGUAUGAUUUUUGUAGCCAUCAAAAGGUAAUAAAAGCGUGUUCAUAUUCCAAAUGAAAUGAAUCUGGGGUGGACAAGGCAUUCUGUGGAUAUUCCCAGACAAAGAGAUGUAAAGUGCCCCCUGUGUGUCAGCCAGCCCUGUGGUAGUCCUUACAUUAGCCGGCCCUGUGGUACUCCCUCCUGUCGGCAGACUCUGUGGUACUCCUGCAUGAGCAGGCCCUGUGGUACCCCUGCAUCAAAUUGUCCCCUGGUACUUCUAGCAUCAGCAGGCCAAAGAACCUGCUUCCUUUCGUUCUAAUUAAUAUUCAGCCUCCUGCACAUGAUUAAAAUGGCCAUUUAAGUGUUUCUGCUAGUGCGUGGCUUAGAAGCUGCUGCUUCAGGAAAACAGUUUUUGGCUGUCACUGUCUGAAAGCACCUGCCCUCUGUAUCUGGAAGCAGAGAAGUUUGCCCCAAGACCUCAAUUAGUAAUGGUUCCAAGAAAAAUCACUGAUUCUCAGUUUCCACAACUUUUUCUCAGAGCAAGGACAAGAAUGACAACUUCCACUCUCUGGCGCGUGGGAGCCAAUAAGAGCAGUGUCAGCGUCUUUCCUUUCUUCAUUCUGUUCUGGCUUUCCGCACCUGUCUCCAUUUCUUGUUUCCUCCCAAACCUGGUAUUUUCAUUUGAAAAUAGCGCAACUUGGAGAAUUGGGUUAAGGAAAGCAUCGCACACCUACCCUGCUGCUAUUCCUGCCUCUGCUCCACUGACGUUGGUUCCUGCAUUGCCGUGAGAGAUGGCGCUAUCCACGGUUUGCUUUUCCUCCCGCACCAUUGUGUCCACAGCUGACUCUCAGGGCGGGUACCGCAUGCUCCUCACCUGCUUAACGCCAUGCCCUUAACACUCCUUACCUUUCAGGGUAGCUGAGGUAGGUGGGGUUCUUACGUGUAUUUAUGUAUUUACGUAUGCUGUUCCCAUGACUGGAACAGACCCUUCCUCCCACACCAGAGAAUUUCAUUGUGCUGUAGUUAUUCUUUAUGUCUCAGGAGAGACUCCACAUGUCACUUCGCAUGCCUUUCCUUUUGAAACAUCUUCUUUCAAUGUACCCCAGGCUAGCCUCCAGCCUCUGUCUCCUGUGUCCUGGAUAUUACUAAAUUUGCUAGCUACAUUUUCCUUGUUGCUUUUAGCAUCCACCUCUUCCCCCACAAGCCUUAUCAGAAUUUAAAAUAUAAGUUUUGUCACAUAGCUCUUAAAUUAGACUUUUCAAAACCUCAAGAACAAAAUUAUAAUUUUUAAAAAAUUGUCUUAUACCUUGUGGGUGGGUGGACUACAGCGACUUGCUUAUGUUAGGCAAAUCACCUGCCUCAACCCCACUCAACCCCACUCAACAACCAUGAUUUGUGGUCCACUUCCAGACUGUAAAAAUCUCAAAACUAUCUCAAAGAUAGAGUUCAUAAGUUAUUUUUGUUGAACAUUCAAACACACACACACACACACACACACACACACACACACACACAAAACAAAAAAGAGAUCUGAACACAGUAAGAAAUUAUGAAUACCAGGAAGCAGAGUGUGAAAUGAUGUGAGCUUUAGGAAGAUCUAGAAUGAAUGUUUGCUGGGAUUUUAAGCCAUCUUACCUGAGCAGAGUAUAUUGAACUUGAGUUAAUAUUAAAUUGCGAUGAAUAAGUAUUUAUUUAUUUAAGUGGCUAUAUAUAUUUUUCUCUAGAAACUUCAGUUUUUUCUGUACAUGAUAAAAGUGCUUUGCUGGCCAGAGGCAUUGGUGAGGGGUGACUUCUCUUGGGAGGUUGUCUCUGAGAAUCCCAAUGCCUCGGUGGUCCAGGCCUUCGCCCUUGUGAGGAGCUGUGGAACCUGCCUAUUCUAAGGAACAUCCUACUCUCCAUAGUAAGGGAACUCUCAUGUUUGCCCUUGGCUGGGUAAUAUAACUAUGCUUUCAUUGGCUUAAAUGCUACCCCAAUUCUUUCCAUUGCUAAUGUCAACAGGAGUGGUUUGUCAGCAUAUGCAACCUUGCCCUAUGCAUCAUUUGUUCUGAGAUUCUCAGAUUCAGUGUAGUGUUAAAUAGGCUGGGAUCAGAAGCAAGUGACACUUUCAUCAUUUGAAUUAGGAAGGUGUACCAUGGUUUAGUUUAAGUAGCCUUAUAAAGCAUGUAUGAUUCAAAACCUAUUUUUAUUCAUCCACAAACUGCUGGCUUGUAUCUCAUUAGAUGAAUACAUUUCUACCCCAGUGAUUAUAAGGUAACAGAGCCUGAAAUAUGGCAAAAAUUUUACUUGAGCAGGACUGAAGUUCUUUUAUAAUUCAUAACAUCUAGCCCGUUAGCUUGCUUGUUUUUUGUGUUAAUUUCUUUUAGGUUUAAGAGGCUAAAUUUUUGUUUGGUAUAUCUAUGUUUCCUUUUCCUUUCUCUCUCUCUCCCUGAGCCUCCUGCAUUUCUAAAACAUUGGAAGGUUUGCACAAUCACACCUUGAUUCUCUUUGCUUCCUGAUUUUGAUGUUUCUGAGAGUAAGUCAAAGCCUACAGUGAUGCAGGAUAGUGGGUCUCAAACAUUCUUUGGAUUCUGGCUUGGGCUAAGUCUGUCUGUGGACUACGUUCAUCUAUCAAGUAAGGGAUGAAAUGCAGAGAUCUUAAUGUCAUCACAGCCUCAUUUUAAAUUACAAUUGUACUUAUUUAUACAUUUAUUCAUCUCCCUCCCUCUUUCCUCCCUCCCUCUCUCUCUCCCUCCCUCCCUCCCUCUCUCUCUCUCUCCAUUUCUGUGAGAGUUUCUUAAUUAGUAUCCACUGGCUGCUUUUGCUCCUUUCACCUGUGUGUGUGUGUGUGUGUGUGUGUGUAUGUGUGUGUCUGUGCGUUCGUGCACACGUGUGAGUAUGUGUGCACAUUUUCAUGUGUGUGUGCCAUAGUAUGUAUGCGGCAGUCAGGAUGAGUUGCUACAGUGAGUUCUCUCCUUCCAUUGUGUGUGUUGAGAAGUGAGUUCAUCAGGCUGGUGCCUUUACUGGCUGAGCCAUGUUGCUGCAUCUUGAUUUUGCCAUCUGGAACUUGAAGACAAGAGUUAUUGUUGCAUCUGAAGGUGUUGGAUGCCCUCUCAUUUCUUUUCACCCCAUUUCGUAGUCCACUAAACUGCCUUCCAAAGUUUGAUCUUUUUGCACACUUCGAUACUACUAUACCACAACUUUCUCUGCCUCCGUGGAAUCGGGUUAAGCAGCAGGUUGGGUGAAGAAGAGGCAUAUAACAGAUAAUUGAAGGGACAUGCUUUGCAGCUUCAAAUUCAUCUGCAUGGCAUCCAGCCACAGCCACACGGUGAUGGCGAUAAAAUGUGGAUGUGGGAAACAUCAGCUUCCACUUUGCAAAAGCUUAAGAGCCGGCAAUUGAUUGAAUGGAAUGAGAAGAUGAAGAGAAUUAGAAGUGAUAUUCCUAAGGUGUUCUGCAGACCAACACACCAGACAGAAGACAUGGAUUAAGAAGAAAGAAUGAAAAAAAAGAGAGAAAAGAAAAAGAAACAACACACACACAGCAUCGGAUGAAUUUUAGAGUUGCUGACAAUUCAGAAACAUGAAGGAACAAGGAGAGAAAAAAAGUGGACAAUGUCCUGGACCAAAGUUCAAGGUCAACUCAAUUUCGAGAAGGAAUGUGCAUCUCAGGGCUACUGAGCAGAGCCUUCAAUGCCAAUUUAAUGCAAGUACUCUUCAUCCCGGAACACUAGAAGGCCAGACAUAAAGCUUUGACUUCAAGCCACACACAAAACAUGUGAUUCCAUAUGGGCUUUUGCUGCAUGGUAGCUGUUGAAGGCUUACGUGUGCCAGUUAAAGACAGCUUGAAGGUAACCACUUGAAAGUCAGCAUCAAACAAAGCACUAGCAGCAGCUCCUUUUCAGACAAGGGAGAAGAGUUUUUUCUUCAAGCAAAGGAGCCACUCAAGAGUAAAAGGAAAUAGAGAUUUGGGAGGAUUUCUACAACCUUGGCAGUCAGCAGAAACAACUUCUCAACUCAGUGUCCUUUACUGAAGCUCACUCUUGAACAAGUCCCACCCAUGUGCACAGAUGACUUCAACCGGUUCUUAAAUCCUUGCUGGAAAAAGAAAAGGACCAAGAGAUAAAGCCAUAGUGCAAAAGAUAUCAAAACAAACAAAGGAAGUCAGGAAGGGGACAGAAAAAUGAGAAGAAAGAGUAGAAGAAAAAGGGAGAAGACAUGGAAGGGAGGGAGAGAUGUGUUUGCUUGCAUGUGUGUCUAUGUUCCACAUGCAUACCUGCUGCCUGUGGAGGCCAGAAGAUGGCAUCAGAUCCCUGGGGACUGGAGUGGCAUAUGGUUGUGCACUCUCAUGUGAGUGGUUGAAAUCGAAGUUGGGUCCUCUGGAUGGGCAGCUCUUAACCAUUGAACCAUUGAUCUAGUCCUGGAUAAUAGCAUCUACCAGCCUUGGCAAGUCUUCACUAGCCUGUAGAGGAGGUCAUACAAAUAUAAAAUGUCUAGAACAUUAUUCUGUAAAAUUCAGAGUAACAGAGUUAAAGAGAAAAACUCCAAGAAGAUGAGGGAGGCAGAGAGAUAGAGAGAAAGAGAGAAAUAAGCAAAUGACUAGAUCACAAGGUCACAAAGAAACAAAGGAGGAGGUACAGAAAUAGCUUCAGUCUUUUGAGGGUCAUUUUCCCAAGCCCCAUGACCAUGAGAAUCCCAAGGAAAAAGGAAAUGACUGUAGAAAGUCAUCCUCACCAAACCUACUAAUCACAGAAUGUAAGAAAGCCCAGUCAAGUGAAGUCUCAAAAUCUUAGUCCUAAGUACUGUUUUUUGGAAGCAUUCCAGAAAGACAACAGAAGUCUUGAGGUCAGCCCUGCGGAGUGUCCUGUAGGAUCUUGGGAUGCAUCAGGCUGGAGGAGCUUCAAGGUCAACUGAGCACACAAAACAUUGUAAGGAAGCCAGUUUGUAUCUAUCACUGCUGAAGAGCAAGUGGAUUGCACAUAGGCAAAAGAAGAGUCUGCCCUAGGGUCUAUGAGCAGGAUGAGCUGAGCUGGGGGCUAAGUUGUAAAUCCUCGGAGGAAAGAAGCAUAACGUACUAGUAGUUCUUUUUCCUCAACUGACCUGCUUUGUUGUCACCAAGAACAUUGGAGUGCUGACCAGAUGAUUUGGAGAAGGCAUCUUUAAUUCUAAUCUUCAAUGAGCUAAGAGGGGUCUUCAGGUCUUUGUGAUUUCAUGUUAUGGAUAGUUGUUGAGGAUCCAGAGUUAGAACUCUGCUUUUGGACACAGAUGAUUUAGCCUGCUUGUAUAGACACAAGCCAGAGUGAAACCCAGUACUGUGCAACACCCAGACUUUGACAUAAUGGAAUAUUCGAAGAUACAGCUAACUAAAAGACUGAUUUUAAAAAUUUGCAUCUUUUGCGGGACUACAGGAGUCCUCUGUGACCCCUCCCCACACCACCGUGCAUCCCAGCUGUACCUUCUCACCAGCAACUCUAGAGCUUCCCAUGAGUCAAAUUUAAAUUUCUCCCCAGAGCCAAGCCUAGGAGUCUCUCCUAUAGCAAGCACCACCUUGGUCUUCAAAACUCCUUGUUUCCAAUGAGCAUUAAGCUCAUUUUCUUGGUUUACUCCCCUGUAAAGGCCUUUGCUAAGAAAGCCAAGAGUUGAAGCCAACCCAUCUCUGAAAAGCCCAUUUUCUGUUCUUCUUUCCUUUAGGACUCCAUGUCUUUCUGUGCAUCUUCUUUCUGUAGCCUCUUAACCACACAAGAAGACGGAAUGUUCCUCAGAGGACAGGGAAAACAGUGGCUACUCCUAGGAAGCCCAAACUGCUUUGUAUAAAGACAAAGUGUACACAGAAUCUAAACAUCCACUUAUUAAGAAGUCCUGCCGCUGACAGGCACAAUGAAAAGGACAAAGCGGCAGUGGAGCCCAUGUACAGAACUCACACCCUCUCCAUGCUCAGAGCAGGAAGUUGUCUUAUGCUCGUUGCCACCCUGCCCUAAUACUGACCAAAACGUCCACGAAAGAGACGUGUCCCAAGACAAUGUGACAAGACACGGCACUUCUAAUCUCAUGGCUAUUCCAUGACUAGCAAAAGCUCAAAUGAACAAGGACAGAAAACUCAUUUAGGGAAGGCUCCAAGUUGACUUUCCGAGAUAUGCUUGGGAGCACACCCAUUUCUUUGUGAUACCCUGAUAGUGAGUGAGCGACCUACGCAUGUUAAAGCUACUUCCAAAGUCUCUACCAAGGGUGUCCAGAAGCCUCUCCACACUGGGCUGGAAGAAUGAAGAGGAGUCCAGAACGGUCAUGAAGAGUGUGGGAAACAAGCAACAAGAAAGAACAAAGGGAAGAGAGGGAUCGCAGGAGGCUCGGAGUGGGACAGAGACCUAGGGGCAGCCUUGGCCACCGUGCUUCACCCAGGAGAAAGGAGAUUCUCCACACACGGAGGGACCUCUUUCUGUCCUUCAUUCACCUGUGAAAAUAAUGUUUGUCCAGCCCACAUUCAUAACAUAUCCUAAUUUUUUCUAGCCACAGACAGAAUUUUUAAAAGAGACUCUCGCAUAGUCUGCUUUUAGUUUGGUUUGGGAAGUGACAGAUUUUCCGUUUUCACGAGGGAAAAAAAAACAGUUCCAGCUUCCACAGGAAUUUCAUCUGAGAAAGAGGCGGAUGGCAACACAGAAAGCUUCCCACUGUCGCAUUUCUUAUUCUCUUCAGUGAGCAUCUCUGAACAAUUGGAAGCAGUGCCAUUUUCCCACCAGGAGACACAGUGCAGGCUUUUUAAGAGCAUUUACAGGGUGAUGUCCGUUUGAUUGACCGUUAUCUCGCUGGCAUGCUGCUGCUACAAAUAUGAGCAAUUAUUGAGAAAGCAGUCAAAUUAAAUUUUCAUAACUAUGAAACGGCAUUUUACCUUAGGGGCACAGCUUCCCGCCUAUUUCUACAAUCUAUUUUCUAUGCUUUAUAUUAAAUCUAAACAAAUGAAUGUUUACCAAUAUUAAUAUUUUAACAUCAUAUGCCAGUCUGUGCCCUUUCUCCCAACAACUUUUUGUCUUCCUGGGGAAACUUCUAGUAUUGAGCUAAACUUUUCUGAUGCAGCACCAGUGAUGUUGGAUAGGCUUUUCUUAAUAGCUCCCGUCCUCAGCACAGAAGUAAAACUUUGAAUGUUGCUUUGGAAAAAGUUUAAAAUUUUUAGGUCAACCUUACCAAGGUUUUAUAUCCAGUCCCUGCCAAAGAGAUACCCAAUGAGAAGUUGACCCUGUUUUAGAUGACACUGAAGCUUGCAUCCUUCCCCUCAUCCAUAGCCAACAUUGCUAGGCGAUCAUGCUGGUGUUUGCUGAGAACAGGUACUGGAUCUCAGCAGCCGUUUGAAAUGAGUUGAGUUGACACACAAGGUACACACAUUUGACUGUCUCCGACACAAAUACCUGAUCUCUGUGCUGCUGCUCUAGGCCCGGGAUCCUGCUGUCUCCCUUUACCUGAAGCCACAUUUAUAAGCCUAGCUCACUGAUUAGUAAUCUUACUUGAAUUGAAUCACCAGACCUUGCUAUUCCAGUUUUGCUCCUUCAGGCACAGCUCAAACCCACCCCACUUCAUGUAGCAUUGCCCUGGACCACACCAGUCUUUCUUCUUUGAUAUCGUGACCUUGCCACCACAGUGACCAUUUGUUUUGGCUAUUUUGGGGGGACAGGAGCAGAUUUGCCCAUUGUCUUGGUCUCCCUUCUGGCUAUUGUCACCCAUCUCUAUCAAGAGUCCCAAGGUGAGCAGUGUAUUACAUACUUCCUUAUCCAUCUCCUGUAGCUUCUAUUUGACUUCUUUGUAAUCUUCCUUUAAAAAAAAAAGAAUCAAUUUGUUUUAUGAGCUAAUAUUAUCUAGUGUCUGAACUACCAGAAAGCCUUUCUUUUCUCUUCCCUCUAAAAACAGCAUAGGCAGCUAGAUUAUACCUCAUGGAAGGCCUCUGUAGAUGUUCCUGAAAAGUUCUAUUUGCAGAGCGUUUUUGAGGGCUCUGCUUAUGGUUUAUUUUGGGUUAUGAUCUGUAGUCUGCUUAAUCCAUGCUGAACCUUGGCAGCAACUGGUCUCAUCAGGUAUCAAGCGGAAAGGUUCCUGACUGACAGUGAAGUCAGCUUUAUUACGGCCAGGAAGCCAUCUCCAGAACCUCCCCUCACUGGCUGCCGCGUCCUUCCUUACCUUUUCAAUACUCGCAGAAUGCCUGUGUCACUUAGUGUGUGUGGAGAUUGCUGGUCUAAAAGUGAUCGUUUAAUUUGUAUAAAUACUCACGUGACAUUAAACGCCCUGGUUUUUCAGGAAUGCAUUAUUAUUAGUGCCUAAAACCGAAAAUCCCCGUUGAUGUAACGGAGACUACCUUCUCUUUUGCAGAGGUUAAGAAACUUCUUGCUCUGAUUUUGAGGUCUCUUCUGGUCUAAUAUUGGACAGAUUGCAAUUAAGAUAUUAUUUCCCGGGGCUGGGGAUUUAGCUCAGUGGUAGAGCGCUUACCUAGGAAGCGCAAGGCCCUGGGUUCGGUCCCCAGCUCCGAAAAAAAGAACCAAAAAAAAAAAAAAAAGAUAUUAUUUCCCAGUUCUUCUUUGCUGAAUGGAGGAAGAGAAAACCUAGUCAGGUAACCACCGUGGACAGGAGGAGAGGUAGGGAUCCUCAGAGUCCACUGCAGGGCUGCUGGGUGGAAAGGGCUAUUUGCAGCCUGGCUCACUGAGUUUAUCCACCAUCCAAAGCACUCACAGGAUGCCCCUGAGGUUGAGGACGUGCUCACAGCCACGGCUUUGACCUGACUGCAGUAACUCUGUUCGGCAUGAGUAUUGUAAUCAUGGUCUGACUGCAUCCUUUGGUCUGUGUCAAGGGGUCAAGGAAAAAGGGAGGGAGAAGGAAACACUCGAGUCUUUGUUGCCUUGAAUAAAUUCUAAACAAUUAUUUUGGGGAAUAGAGCAUGAGGGGAAGUUAGAGGAAGAUUAUUUAUUAAUCUCAAGGAUAAUUGUGAAUUUAUACCUGAACUAUUUUUAAAAGUUGAAAAAUGCGAGUAUGUUAACUUUUAGAGCUGAUUUUAUCGUGUAUUAGAGAAUCCUGCGCAAUAAAUUGAGCGAUAUUUUAUUUUCUUAAUUAUUAAUUGCUUCUUCGUCUCCUCCAUCCUGAGAUCUUUGUGUGUGUGUGUGUGUGUGUGUGUGUGUGUGUGUGUGUGAUUUUUCUUCCUUAGCAUUUUCUGCCUUGAAAAACUCAUGUCAAAGCUAUGUUCAAAUCGAAUGCCACCGUCCUCCCCAGGAAAGGAACUUUUGAAAUUGCUACUAAUCUUCCGAAUCAUACACGUUUAUUCAAACUGAAAUGGCGUUGGUAAAGGAGAAGAAAGAAAAUUGAAAGAAACGUCGGAAACGAUUCCUGCCUUCUCCCUAGUACAAUUCGGGCAGUUUGUGAGUAGGAUAUCUGUGUUUCUCCAGGGAACAAAUCCUACAGUUUCAGGCAAUAAAAGACAUUUUUGAAUCCUGGCCAAUGGCUGCCUACCUUUCUUGGACACAUAGAACACGGGGCUAGGCAAAUAAUCAACAGCGUUUUUAUCUCUCCCCGUGCUGAGCACUACACUGGGUGCUUUUGGAGAAGGGUUGCCAGAAGGUGUGUCCAUCGUAUAUUGAUGCAGCUGCUUUCUCUAUUCUUGUUCCGGAACUAUUCUCAGAGGUCUUCUUUCUCAGGAGAGCCGCUGGACAAGCUGCCUCUUCCUUCAGCAAUGUGAUGCCAAGUGUUGGUUUCUGAAGCUGGCCCCCUGAUGCAUGCCUUUGUUUCCUGAAAAGAGGCCCCAGCUUCUACUACCUAGGAAGUAACAAAAUAGACCAGCUUUGUUGAACCACCAAUAGGUGUUUGGGAUUUUUCUAAUGUAGCAAAUAACGUUUUGAAAACAACGCCUCUGAACACUCCACUUAGCGUCAUUGUCUUGACCAGAACUUUCUGAUUUAGACAGACCAUGAAACUUUGAAGCUGAGACAACUUAUUCAUCUCAAAAUUUCUCUGAGAUUUGUUUUAGCUUCCUGCUUGGUUUAAAUGUUCAUUUAUUCAUUCGAAGUCUGGUACCUGAUGCUUCUGAUUUGGCAGAUUAUGUGCUUGUUGCUAGGAACAGAGGUAACGAAGAUGACAAGAAGGUUAUGCUGUGGAAUUAAACGUCGUAUGGGGAUUCUGCAUCGAUGGGCCUUUUUACUCUGACUAUCAAUCACGCUCAUACGAGAUUAUUUCUGUCAUUAUGAAUUUAGGAAAGCAGGCUUUAGUGGCAUGCCUGGAAUUUUAGCACUUUGGGAAGUCAAAGGAAGAUGAUUGUAAGCCUGAAGCCAGUCUGGAUGAUAAAGACAGACCUUGUCUCAGAAAACAGACAGAAGGAGCCAUGCUAACAAUAAAAACGAAUUUAUGUAUUUCUGAAGAAGGGUGCGAUAGCUCUUGCAGCUCAGGGGAUUGAGAGGGCUAGUGUUGUUGUUGUUGUUUGUUUGUUUUUAAACAUAAUUUAAACAUGAGGCAGAUAUUGUAAAAAAUCAAAUGAGAUGAGAGUUUGAAGCUGGGAAGACCAAUUAUAAAAAAAAGUAGGGGGUAUUUUCAUGGAAAGGAUUUGGGAAAGCGUAAAAGAAAAAGCUGGAAUUGAAACUAAGCCUACAUUAGAAAAGUUCAGAGAAAGAGGCUGUACCUGGCGAGACAGCCUUCACAAACUAAACAAAGCACCCAACAUUAGAGGGCAGAAAAUCAGAAAAAUGGCAUAAAGAUCUAAAUCUACAUGUGCGGUUGAAGGUCAUGUGGCUUUAAGUAGUGAAUUCUUCAUGAAGUACCUUUAGAAGAUCAAUUGGCAGAUCGUCACAAGGGAGUGGCACUGAUGACAAUACUUGUCUAGUAAGAAAGACUGGAUCAUCCAGAAGCCACAAUACUGGUUACCAUACAAAACAGGAAAGAUUCUAACUAGGAUAGAGGAGGGGUAGCUGGCAAAAGACUGGAAAGCGAAUUAAAGCCAGGCCAGUACAACAUCCAGCCUGAUCAGAUGCUGCUAACAGGGGUCCUUAACUAUGAGUGAACUAAGGGGUGUGUUUACAGAGCCAUUUUCCUUUCUUCCUUUCUUUCUUCCUUCCUUCCCUCUUCCGUCCUUCCUUCCUUCCUCCCUCCCUUCCUGCCUCCCUCUCCUCUUUCUUUCCUUCCUUCCUUCCUUCCUUCCUACCUUUCUUUCUUUUUUGGAUAACAUUUUUAUUCAGAAUUAAGUAGGUGAUGACAGCUAAAUUUUUUAUUAUUAAUUAAUUUAUUUACAUCCCAAAUGUUGAGUCUCCUUCCUGGUCACCCCUCUCAGAGGUGUUCUCCCCUUGCCCCUCCCCUUUGAUUCUAAGAGGAUGCUCCCCAUUUAUCCCCCUACCCUGGGGCAUCACAUCUCUACAGAGUGAUGCGCAUUCUUUCCCACUGAUGCCAGACAAGGCAGCCCAAAGGACCAUUUUCUAGUGCAUGUGUCCUGUGACUGAGUCACAGAUUGGAUAUUGCAGUCAUUUUACUUUUGAUGCUUUGCAAAGGAAAAAAAGCUAGUAACUGGUCAAGGCAACGUCAUAAUGAUAACGAACUGAAGACAAUCUGGAAACAGAAGUAUGAACCAAUAACUAAGGUCGGUUCACACCGCCAAUGACAGAAUUAAGAACUGACCCCAAAUGAGAAAGAAGAUAUAUAUUCAUGACUUUGUCGGAAAGAAAAGGGUUGCUUCAUUGCUGCAGAAAUGCAGGAAAGGAAUAUUUUUACCUUAGUGGUAAAAAGAAAGACUAACAUUUAGUGUGCACGUAGUAUAUGCCAGGGCCUGCACUGAAGAGUCUAAUGUGCACAGGAAGAAUUCUCAUCUUAUAGCUCCUUCUAGAGAUGAACAUGAUCCAAUGUUAGCACAGUCCUCCUUUGUUGCUAAAUAAUAUAUAGUCAGUAUAUAGGGUCAGUAUAUAGGGUCAGUAUAUAGGUACCAUACAAUAUAGAACAGCAUAUUUAUUCUCAUCUUGUGGGUUUCAACCCAAUUGUGGGGAGUCUAACAACCAUUUUAUUGAGGAGUUGCACAUCAGAAAUCCUACAUAUCAGAUAUUUAUGUUAUGAUUCAUAACAAUAACAAAAUUAUAGUUAUGAAGUAGCAACAAAAUAUUUUAUGCUGGGGGUCACCAUUUUAUGGUUGGGGUCAUGACAACAUGAGGAGCUGUAUUAAAGGAUUGCAGCAUUUGAAGGGUGAGGAUCACUAAUAUAGAUGGAAAAGGUUGAAGGUUGGUAUCUGUGUUAGUUAUCUGUCCUGUUUUUGUUUGACUACUAACCAUACAGCAAUCCUCAUGCUAAAACAGGAAAUGAAAUGGAAUAUACAGCAAUUGCUAGCUGGCUACUUGGCUCCUCUGAGCCCUUAGCUUCAAGGAUUUUUCAAAAUAUAUUAUUUUUUUUUUCUGCACCAUAGCUCAGAGUUGCUAAAUCCAGAAAUUGAAACAUUCUGAGAGGCAAAUCAUUUCAGGGUGAAUCAAAGCCCUUGGAACAUUGCCCUAGGAUUUUAAAGAUAGUGUUUGAUGGUGAAAAAUGUUCCAAUUUUAUAGGAAAUCCCAAUUAUGCAAGGCUGCCCCAUUCACUUCCUCCCAGCAUGCAGGGUGUUCAAUAUGCUGUCUUCAUCUGACUUUCACUGUGAGCAGAAGGCCAUGAGUGAAGGUGAAGGCAGAGGUCAUUUGACGCCUAGUAGUUGUGGUAGCAUAGCCUCUGUUUGUAGCUGAGAAAGCCUGAGGCUGGUGGCUGAUUCUCACCCCACCUGAGUCCUAGAAUCAGGUGCUUCCUUCACUCUGCUCUCACUAGCUGCUCUUCUGGCUGCCAUUUUAGAACAGGCAGCUCGGAGCUGGAUGUGGUGUGUCUGAGCAGGAGGCUCUCCAGAUCAAAUCCUCUUGUUGACUGCAGCCGUGCCUUGCUUCUAUGUGCUCUGCAGUACCCGCGGUGGAUCCAGACAGUUGAAAAAGAGAACCAACAUGAUUCGUCUUCACAGAGGGAGCUCUGUCACAAAGUCAGACUCUUAACAUGAAGCUAUAAAUUCUGCAAGCUGGGAACCAGUCAGGUGAAGCUCAAAUACCUCAAUUUUUCUACCUGUAGAAUGAGGAUAAAGAAACCUACAGGAGUACAAAGUCAUCUGCGAAAUUAAGAGAAGCAAAAACACAGAGCAUGUCGGAGCUGAUGAACGAAUGGGGCCACGGGCGUUGGAUCACAGCAAUGAAAGUGAAAUACAAGAAAGGUGAAGGGAAGUUGGUGGGGGGGCUGUGGCAAAGGGCCUACAGCUGGAAUGCUUGCGGAUUCCGGAGAUGCUCUUCCUGCCUUUGUAAUAAGUGAAUGCUGACCUUCAGUCCACAGUGAUUUUACCUCUUAUAAGCUAAAGGGCAAGGCAAAGCGAAGCUAUGCGAACCCAAAACACGCUCUCAAUCCCCUUCUCUUCCAAGUUCAACUUAUUUUUCAGAGGCCUAAGUUAUCAUUUUCCAUGGUGCCUCCACCCCUGAUCCUUUCUAAGCAUGGCCUCCUUUUGUAUUAGGGCAGUAUAUUACAAACUGUGUGCUAAUAUACUCUGCCUCUUUGGGAUGUAGCUUCCCGGCAAAAUCAAGAUUACCUCUAGUAUGAGAAACAUGAGUUACCCUUCUUAUCUAAGCACUGUAGGACCUUGGGUGGCUAGCACAGAGAACAGCUAAACUAAUUACCACAAUGAGAUGGAAAGAGUAAUAGUUUUUUUUUUCUCUCUAACCAAACAAACCCUACUCAAGAUGGGGAUGCAUUUCUUUGCUUAAUAGAUAUUACAUUUUAUCUCAGCUACUGAAGAGAUGUUUGUUUAUUUCUGUCUGUUGAUUUUCUACACUCUGACCUUGCUUUUCUUCUUCAUUUGUACAGAGGAAUAGACUUUUAACUAAGAACACUUUGCAAUUAUCUUAUUUAAUUUUCACAUUUAAAUUGUGAAGAGUUGCUAAACUCUGAGAAUGCAGUGACAGUAAUCACACCAGGUACCCUGACCUUAGGGUGGCUGAUUCUAGAUCACUGGGUCUCCUUUUCCCCUCCCACUGAAGGAUGACAACUUUCUUGUUUGCAAUUUACGUGGGCAUUCUGUCUGCCUUGGUACCAUUCCUCACUCAAAUCUUCCAAGGAAUUUAUAGUUCUGAGGCAUAAGGUCUGCCCAAACAAGGAUUUCCAGUUGACCUGAAAUAAUGUCAGCUGGAGUUUUGCAGAGGAAUUUAAAAUAAGUAUAUAUGUAUACUAAAAUUCUCCUGCUUGGUAAGGAGUUAGCCGUCCCACUAUUCUUGACAGUUUUUUAUCCCAGUGGAACCAAACAUUGUGUCAGAAAAAAAAAACAGUGUAAAUACUGUGAGGUAGAUCAGGAUAUAUGUUUUGGUGGGACUGGAAGUCAAACACUUACAAGAGGAUUGGGAAUCAAAUAAGUGGUUUACCUCUUCACAUUUGCCAGUCAUUUCCUUGCCUUUCUUCCCUGUCCUGUAUUAGCAAUCUGUUCUUAUAAAAUCUUUCAAAACUUAAUAAUUUAAAGCAUCAAUCAUCUGUUACUUCUCACAAUUCCUGACAGUUAAGAAUCUGAGAGGUCUAGCCAGUUCCGUGAUGGAGUCUGGCAGUCAAGAGGGCGAUUUGAGGCUUUGGCUCUUCACCAUGUGUGGAAUUCUUGGUAGUGCUCCUUGCCACGUGGUUCUGCUUAAAUGGAGUGAUGAGGACAGGUGUGUGUGUGUGUGUGUGUGUGUGUGUGUGUGUGUGUGUGUGUGAGAGAGAGAGAGUAGUAGUAGUAGUAGUAGUAGAAAUGAUGGAGAAGUCACUUAAAGAAUGGGUGCUACACUGUUCUAACCCAUGUUCUCCGAAGAGACAACUCAUGUCGCCUGGAUGUUCUGUUGGUCAUGGAGCAACACAGGUGCAACGUGCAAGGACAAUGAUGUAAGAACUUAAAAGGAAGACCCUUGGAGGUCUCUUAGAGACUGGCUUCCUCUAUUCCUUCCCUUGAAAAGUCCUUGAUUUUAAUACCCUCCCAUUUUAAUCAGGGAUUGUUGGAUAGUGAUUGUUAGAAAUUUUACUCCACUUUUGUUUGUUAUAAAUAAACACAAUUAACACUGAAGGGAGUGCUUCAAAUGUUCUCCUUAGGCACCAAACUAUUUUGUAGCUUUAAAAUUCUAAACAGAAGAUGGUGGUGUUGGUAUACAUGGCCUUGCAAUGAAAUUUGGAAGUAAAGAUAUCAUGGAACUUGGGUUCUUAUCUUGAAAGAUAGGUGAUUUAUAUCUCCAUCAAACUGGCUUCUAAAACCAUAUGUAAUUCCUCAAAAAACAUUUAGGCCAUAAGUAGGCAAUAUCAAACUUUCUGUAUUACCUGUUAAUUUCAAAUGAACUAUGUGAGGUCCCCACUACCACCCCAUGAAUGCCUUUUUUUGGUCCAAAUCAAGACUAAAAGAGCAGGAGGAGAUAUGAGAAUGACUCUGAUGUAGAUGGUGUGUGCCGACACUUGCAGGAAGGAUGCUACCUUUUACUAGAUUUGGCUUCUCCACAGAAUGUGAACUCUUAGUUCCCAUUAUGCAUGUCGGUAAAUUAGAGAAGCAAUGACUUCUACCAGCCAUUUCCACGGCUGAUCUUUAGUUGGUAAAAGUGAGAUGCUUUCUCCCCCAAUAGAACAAGGUGAGUUUUUGGUGAAGUCACAUGAGAGGACAGAAAAAACCUCAGAACUGAUUGGAUCCUGCUCUUCUUAACUCCAGUACUUUGGUGAACAUGAUUAUUUGAGUAAACUAUUGCUGGGAACAAGGAUCUGAUGAGACUUUGAAGUGGACAUGCUAACUGUAUCUUUCCUGUCACCGUAUCUCUUCUUCCAUAGAGUUCAUCACAGGUCCGCUCACAACAGCACUCUAUUGUCUAUCAACAUUGAAGACAAAGGGUGUUUUUCAAGUCAUAAAGCAUUUAAAUGUCUCAAAUAAAAAACUUUGCCAAGCAAUGAGAUUUGUUGCUAUGCAUGUGUGGACGCAUUCCUGUGUCCAUAUUUCACCCACCGAUCACAUGUACCCAAUGGUACAUAGGAAUAGUCUUUAGUGGUUGGAUUGAAAGAUCUCUGGGGUUAAAUAUAGUGUUGCUCCUCAGGGCUGUGUGGGUGGGGGUCUUGGGCUUGAGUUCGCAUCUGGGAGAAAUGAAGGUUGAUGUGACAAGAAAGCAGCCACAGGGAUAACAAUUCCUCUUACAUCCUUCCGGUCAAUGUGAGGCAACUUUAACCUUAAAACACUCUAUGUUAAAGAAGACAGCAAAUUGAAAUACAAUGAAUUUGAACAAUUUAUUUAGGAUUAUGAAGCUGAUAAUUGGUAGUUUUGAGACUAGCUCCUAUGUGAUGCAGGAGUCCGUAGUAGUUGGUAAUUCUGACAUGCUAGGAUAAGAUCUGCAUAAGAGAAUGAGUUAUCAGAGGAGAAUCCUGUGGAUAUUCAAACAAAUGUUGAUUCCCUUCUCUUCUCUUAUUUUAAGAAUUUAACCAUCAGAUGAAAGGGACAAUAUCUCAACAUAUGUUUAAAAUGAUGACCUCUGCCAUUUCACAGAAAGAUUCCAUAUUUUUUUUUGAAACAAACUGCAGAUGUUCAUAGGAUUGACAAAAGAACAAAUUGGACACCCCUUGCGUUUGUUCUGAAGCUUGAAAACCUUUGUGGAAAAAAUGCACAUUAUGGGGAGUUUCCCCCUUUCUUAAGUGGUCCUUAUUCUAAUCAUAAUGUGUAGAAGGAAAUUUAAAUGUAAAAAGGUAAAAAUUAAAAGAACUAUAAAUAACAACAAAUGGCUCCCUUGUAAAUACAAAGCCAUAUUCACUCCCUGAACUGUUAUGUCUACAAACUAUUCGAACAACAGUUAAUAAGCGCAUUCCCACUGAAAGCAAAUGCUAACUGAUGUCUCAUCUGACUGCACCCUUUGUUCGGCGUGUUCAGAAACGGAGAGCCUGGAGAUAGGGAUUUCUGCGCUCUUUGCAUUCAGAUGAGUCCAUGUGCCCACCAAAGAAAAGGAAAAGUUUUCAAGUUCCCCAAAUACUCCUUUGCUAAUAUUCAUCUCUGUCAAAAAAUAAUAGCAUGCUUUGCUUGGAUUAGCUGAGCAUCCAUCUACUUUCCCUCAUGUUUCCCAUUCCCUGUACUUUCCUACUGAGAUAACGGACACUAUGGGUCUCGGGCUAUUGGAACUUGGACUUUUCUGUUAUCAGCUUUGUGUUUAGGAGAUCGUGGGCUGAACCAGGGACAGCAGAGUAGCACUGUGACUGUUGCAAGGACCAGGGAGUUAUUGGCCUGGGUUCUACCCUAUCCUCUAUAUUUAUAACUGUAAAGAGGCAAUGCUAUUGGACUAAAUAUCUGGGCUUAAGGGUAGACUGCACAGUGUUUGGCACAUAGCUACAGCACAUAGUUAGCCGUUAUAGAUACUAAAUUGUAUAUUCUGUCUCCCUUUCUUCCCCUCCAUUUUCUGAACAAAUAUCGCCAGGCCAGAUCAUUCUGUUUUAUAUGAAAAUAAAUAUUGUUCUCAGUGAUUUGGCACAGGGAUACUCUGUGAAGCGAUUAAAGGCAGCACAGAGGAUACCCUAAAAUGUGUAAUUGUUUGAGUUUUGGUAACUUUACAUAUCAUUAUUGAAUUUGUCUCUGUCAUCUAGUUUUCUUGAAUCUUAUUUACUUUAUAUAUAAAAGAGAGGCAAAUAUAAUAACACUUUGUAGGUUAUGAAAAUGUCAACCAAAUUCUGGCCAAUAGAAAGCUCGACACAGAGUCUAAGGAGGGAAACUUAUGGCAUAUGCCCCUGACUGAGUUUACAGGGAUAGGGAAAAGCAGCCAUAUUUGGGUGUCGAAGACAUUGGAACUUUACAAAAUCAUUAUGAAAAAAAAAUAUUCAUUUCUUCAAGUCUAGAUGGUAGGAAGUCUAUGCAACCAGCAUAUGCAACUGUGUCUCAUAAUAACCACAACUUACUGACUGUUGUUGUAAAAAUAUAAAAAUAAAAAAGUAUGGUUGUCUUUUAUCCCAUUAGGUCCACUCCGUUAUCCGUUAGGUGCCCAUGGUAUCUGCUAGGAAUCACAUCCCAGCCACGCACUUUCCUACACUCAAACCCUCACAUAAAAGAACACACAACACAAUAAUCUUUGACCCAAUUGGUAAGAUAUAAUUGCCCACUUAAACAUACAAAGCCCGGUACCAUCCAUCCCUUAGGAACAUUGAUAACAACCUGUAAAUACACAGAGCAGAAUCUUAACAUCACCUGCCUCUCUCCAUCUCCUGUCUCCUCCUUUCUCUCCUAGUCUCCUCCUCCUCCUUCAAACUUCUCUUCCGCCCAUCCUUCCUUCUCCUCCAAUGACAGGCUUCCUUCUAUCCUGUACCUGCCCCUCACCUGUACUUUACAAAUUCAAUGGGGUGGUGGUUUUGGUAAAGUCAUCUGACUUCUGAGUACUUGACUAGGCAGCUGAACUUGGGGCAGUGGAAUUAGCAUCAAAAUACAGAUAACUUCAGGGCAAACCACAACAACUGACUACUUAAUGUAUUUAUGGAGACUAGUGUAAAAUCUCCCAGCCAAAGGUGUACAUUAUCCAAAUGAAUCCUUCUAGUUGCCCAUUGUGCUUUGAAUGAGGCCAUCAAGGUCACUGAAGACCUUGCCCGAGACCAUCAGUUGAAGGCAGAACAAGAAUUCAAAGCCUUAGCACUGUCCUGCUGCUUCACCAGAGAAGCUAAAAGUGCAGCUGGGUGCAGUAGGCCAGGACAGUUCAGACCCAAGACCUUUCUACCUGGGAAGUUUACACCAAUACUUCAAAACAUGCUGCUUCUAAAUACUUUCAUUUUUCCCAUGCAAAAGGUUUUUAAAAACCUUGAGUUCAUGAUGCCCUUUCAUGUCUUUUAUUUUAGCCAUUGUUUUGCUAAGAAUCCUGCAGAAUUACAUUCCUGAGCAUCUCUUCCGUUUUUAUAUUCCUGGUAAUUACACCAUGUACAAAAGAUCUCCAUGUAUGUUUACAAAACAAACCCUUACUAUACUUUGGUAAUUACGAAGUCUGCCACUAAAUUACUGUUUCAUGUGUUUGUGUUUCAAUUAUUAACUGUGGCAGCAUAUAACUAAGCUGAAAACAUGUCAUUUCUAUGAUAAUAAGUGAACGCAAUUAGCACCAUAUCUAUUCCUCACGCAAAAUAUAUUCAUUUGCAUCCUGUCUCCUUGUAUUAUUUAACUGCAUUUAGGCCAAGCGAUGUCAUUCUAUGUUACCUUGUUUUUUCCCCAAUCUAGAGAACUCUGUCUUAUUGUAUAAGUGUUUUUAUGUUGUCUAAAUCAACAGAAGUGGGCGGAGUGGUAAGCCUAGUCAAACACUUCACUCACUGUUAUUUUCUGAUUCUCCUCUCUGAGCCCCUACUUAAGAUGUGUGGGGAUUACUUUCAAACUCAUGAGAUGUGUGUUUAAUAUAUCUUUGCAAAUAAAUUAUAUGGUUUUUAAUCACCAAGUCUAGUUUCCUAAGCAGUAAGCAAAGUCACUUUAUUACUUUAAAGCCACAUGCUAAGGGGAAUGUGGCACCAUAACUGCCCACACUUCAUCUACUUUAUAUUAACUACAACUCUUUGGGUGCUAUAUAAUGGAAAUGCAGCAUUCUGUAUAAUAGUAUGAAGUAAAAUAGUAUAAAGAAGCAUGAAUUAAUGUUGGUAACUUAGAGACCGAGAAAAUCUUAAAACCAAGAAUGUAGCUGAACCAAGGAAUAAACUGAAUUCAGCAACCAGAAUUCAGCCAAGUUGGCACAUUUGGGUUGAGGGUCUGUCUAAUUCCUUUCUUCCUCUGAUCUCUGAUUUAUUCUGCUUUGAUUUGCCAUUCAUAGACAGAUACAGGGUGAUGUCACCUUAUUCUUGAAUGGUAGCUCUUUCUGAAAUUUUACAGACUGACCACGUGGUUUGUAAGUCUGAGAAUACACUACUAGAAAUAAGACUGCUCAUCAGAAAUCCAAGCCACCCCUCACACUCUUGCACAAUUGAACAUACUCAAAUCAACAGUAUAUGUGAAAGAAAAAAUGUUUCUAAAAAUUGCCCGUUUAAUAUUGGUUAGCUUUUCAUAUUGUGUAAAAAAUCAAACGUACUAUGAUGGGACAGAUAAAGACAAUAGUUCCAAUGACUUUGGUAAAAUAACACUAGCCACCAUGGCAUUGUUAGCCUUGAGCAAGGCACUGUGGGAGAAGCCUUAAAGUAUAACCAAAAUUAAACUGCACAAUACUAUAGAUGGAAAAUGUUAUCCUCAUACAACAAUAACAUUAUGCCAGCAUUAUUGUGUGAUGAAAGGAAGGCUUAGGAAGGGCAAAAGCCAUCUCUAACUUGCUCAUCCAUGAAGAACUAGAUAUAUCCAGGGGAUUCAGAGGCUACAAAGCACAUGCCUCUAACCUCUGAAGUUUACAUUUACAGCCUGAUGUGAUUGAUGGCUUAGCAGGUGGAUGCUCUUACCUGGAUGAACUGAAUCAAAUCCCCAGAAGCCAUAUAAUAGUAGAAUGCUGUCCUCUGACUACCAAACAACCACACGCAUAUGAACAUGCAUACACACGCACACACACACAGACUGAGAGUAAUAGAUACAAAUAAAAAGUUUGGAAGACAUAGUUUAUAAUUGCAUUUGGUUGUCAUAGUUUGCCCUAUGUCCAGGAAUUGUCGGAGUCAAUUCCUGAGAACUAAGCAUUCAGAAACUUCUGGGUUGUGAUAGAUUAAGAUCAACUGACAGGUAAAACAAUUAUGCAAAUUACAGGAGAGUUAUAAAUGCAGCUGCAGUUGUCUCAGGUAGGUCUGAGGCACUGGUGGCUUAGCAAGGGUCUCCUUUGGAUUUUAUCUUCUUUGCCAUGUUUCCUUUCUGAUGUCAACUUUUACACUUUGUGUAUGAUUGGUAUCAGUUUAGAAGCAAGAUAAUACUGCUGUUCACUUUACUUUUCCUGGUACAGUCUCCCUGUGAGGCUGAGUUCCUGUCUUAAUUGGGAAUAUGAGUGAAUGUCACCCUAUGCUACUCUUCACUCUGUAAAACCCCACUGUUAGGGUUUCUGGACUCUUUUAAAUAAUGUAACUUAUUUAAUAUUUAAAUAAUAUUUAGCACAAAGUAUUACAGGAGUAAUUGUUUAACCAUUAAUAGAUAAGUUGUUUCUAAGUUCAUACCAUAUAAAACACAGCACAACAGUCCUCCUGCCUUUCAAUGUAAACAUUUCUAUGUGUGGGUAUAUAACUUAAGUGGUAAGCAUGUAGAUCAAUCCUUAGAUAGAUAGAUACAUAUGAUAUGAUAGAAUAAUACAGAGAUCAUGCAUUUUAUCCUUCUUAGGUAAGUCAAAAUGCUCUCCAAACAACCUUAUUAAAAUAAAUAUAGCUCCAUUGUCAAUGCAAGGUGUUAGAACAAUAGCUUGAUUUUUAAUAUUAGUUUUUUAAAAGCUAGUAGGAUAACCAUUUGGUUGUUCAUCAAAUAUGUCUGACUAUAUAUCUUCGGGUUUGAUGGGUAAUAUUAUUAGUUUUGGCCACAGCACAAUUUUCUGAAGAGGGGUUUAGAAAGCUCUUUCCCUUUGUGUUAUUGAUUGGUAAUAUUUGUGGGAUAGUCUCUUUAAGUAGCUGGGAUUUUGGUCAGUCUUCAUUUGACUUGUAAGAGUAUCCUAAAGAUGUCAAUGAUGAAGGAAUAAGAGUUACUGUAAUACUAUGUUAGUAAGGUUCAAAGGUUGUAUACGAUACAUCCUAGCUUGUCUUGACAAAUACUGCUCAUGCUUACUCUAGGUUACCACCUAUACUUCUUCAUCCGCAGUUUUGUAUAUAGUCCUAGUCCAGUUGUGUUCUUAGGUCAGCCUGUUGGUUAGGAAGGGGUUUACAUUUCUAAAAGAACUAAUACUUUCCAUUUCUUAAUGUGUCCUUUUUGUAGUAAUUUUGUUUAUAUCUUUUAUUAUUUAUAUACCUGCUAUUUUAUGCAAUGAAAUUU